RNAcentral lists this ribosomal RNA (253 nucleotides) under uncultured bacterium. RNAcentral's name for it is "partial 16S ribosomal RNA". It matches the Rfam family "Bacterial small subunit ribosomal RNA", at positions 524 to 776 of the family's 1533-position model. The record is from RNAcentral.
UACGUAGGGGGCAAGCGUUGUCCGGAUUUACUGGGCGUAAAGGGUGCGUAGGCGGUAUUUUAAGUCAGAUGUGAAAUAUCCGAGCUUAACUCGGAGGGUGCAUUUGAAACUGGGAUACUUGAGUGCAGGAGAGGAAAGUGGAAUUCCUAGUGUAGCGGUGAAAUGCGUAGAUAUUAGGAGGAACACCAGUGGCGAAGGCGACUUUCUGGACUGUAACUGACGCUGAGGCACGAAAGCGUGGGGAGCAAACAGG